Molecule: long non-coding RNA, 2795 nt
Organism: Hemiscyllium ocellatum (epaulette shark)
Lineage: Eukaryota; Metazoa; Chordata; Chondrichthyes; Orectolobiformes; Hemiscylliidae
Exons: 3
Source: RefSeq, a predicted model, not a curated record
UCGCUUGUUGCUGUACACUCUCAUCAGGAGACGGUCAGGAUGAGGACUCUCCCUGUCCUGUGCUGUGUGGUACUGAUGGUUCUCUGCAUGUCCUCGCUGGGUGAGACUUAUGUUAAAAAAUUAAGAGGCGGAGGCAUCUUGUGCUGCAAGAAGAAGCCCAUCAGUUGCCUUCAUUGUCCAACUGCACCAGCUCAAAAAGCCAGGGCUCCAAAGGAACUGAUAAAAGGGUGUGUGAGGUGCUUGAAGGUGGAAUCUCGCAAAAUCCGCAAAAGACACAGGUCUCCGAUCAUGCCGCUGCCCGGAGUCUAGAGGAGGAUCCCAGCCCUCGGGAUCAUUCCAAAAACCUUCUGUCAGCAAGAAAUAUAUAUCUCUUUUUUUUACAGCACUUCAAAAUGGCACCAUGCUUUCCCAACUGUAGCAUCUUCCAGUAAAAAGAAUGAACUCAUGUGCUGCAUAUCCUUCAUCCAUAGCUUCCUCAUUAUUUGUCGAGGUAAUGUCCAACAAUCUACUCCAUCCACUACUCAGGAUCAUAGAAUCCCCGCAGUGUGGAAAUAGUCCAUUCGACCCAUUGAACCCAUGCUGACCCUCUGAGGAGCAUCCCAGGCAGACUACCCUGUUCCCGUAACCCUGCAUUUCUUAUGGCUAACCCACCUAGCCUGCACAUCCCUGAGCACUAUGGGAAAUAUAGCGUAGCCAAUCCAUCCAACCUGCACAUCUUCGGACUAAGUCGGAAAUCACAUGACACGAGGUUAUAGUCCUACAGGUUUGUCUGAAAUCACAGGUUUUUGGAGCAUAUUCUGUUUGUCAGGUCAUUUCACCUGAUGAAAGGGCUACCCUCUUUGAAAACUUGUGAUUUCAAAUAGAACUGUUGGACUAUAACCUGAUGGCAUGUGAUUUCUGCCCUUGUCCACCCCAGCCCAACACCAGCACCUCCACUCAUCAUCUUUGGAUUGUGGGAGGAAACUGAAGCACCCCCACGCAUAGAAUAUACAAACUACACAUAGUUGCCUGAGGCUGGACUCAAAUUCGGGUCCCUGGCACUGUGAGGCAGCACGCCUGGAAUAUCCAAUCCAGCAUGCAAAUGACACAUACUGAUCCAACUUGUUUUGUAUCUCUCAGAGCAGUGUUCCAAGACAACCAAUACAUUCAUGUUGCUGUUUUGUUGCUAACUGGUUACCAAACAGGAUGAUGCAUGAAUUAUGGCUGAAAAUGUGUUGCUGGAAAAGCGCAGCAGGUCAGGCAGCAUCCAAGGAGCAGGGGAAUCGAUGUUUCGGGCUUGAGCCCUUCUUCAGGAAUCUUCCUGAAGAAGGGCUCAUGCCCGAAACGUUGAGUCUCCUGCUCUUUGGAUGCUGCCUGACCUACUGCGCUUUUCCAGCAACACAUUUUCAGCUCUGGUCUCCAGCAUCUGCAGUCCUCACUUUCUCCUCCCUGAUGCAUGAAUUAAGCCAGUUACAGCCAUUCAUGUCUCAUGGAUGUCAGUGGGAGUUUCUGUCCCAUGUAGCUUUCCUCCCACUAUUCCCUUGCCCCACUCUAUCCUGCUCCUGUUUUGCCUCAGGCAUUCCCAGUCUCUCCAUUCUGGGACCCCCCUUUCUGAUGUUACCGUUGAAUCCCUACCAUGUGGAAACAUUCGGCCCAACAAGUCCAUACUGAACCUCCAAAUAGCAACCCACACAGACCCACUGCCCCACCCUAUUACUCUACAUUUGUCCAUGACUAAUGCAUCUAACCUACACACCCCUGGAUAGUAUGGACGAUUUAGCAUGGCCAAUCCACCUAACCUGCACAUUGUUGGACUGUGGGAGGAAACCGGAGCAGCCGAAGGAAACCCAUGCAGUCACGGGGAGAAUGUGAGGAUAAUCUCAUUGAUGGAAAUCUCAAGGGGACUGAGAGGGUGUGGGGGGAGUGUAGGUGCAGGAGACUAGAACUCUGAGGCACUGUUUAUAAAAAAGGGCUCCCCCACUUAAGAUGGAGAGAAAAAAAGUUUUACUUUCCUCUCUCUCUCUCAGACGCCCCUGAGUCUAUGGACUCCCAGAGGGCACCCUCUUUCAGCCUUCUUCGAAGGUCCAAUCAGAUGCUCUUACUGAAUAACAGCCAAAUGGCCUAUUCCUGCUCCUGUUGGUUCAUACUUUCUACUGAAUCUGAAUCACCAGCAAAACAAAAGUUGAAAGAUAACCAUGAGCUUUCUCCUGGGCUUAACGUGUCGCCCCUCCCACAUUGUUCCACUGAGGUGGGGGGGGGGGUGUCCAUGUUGGUGGGGGGAUCACGGCUGGGGAAGACCUGCGCAAAAUCCUUCCGUCAUCUCGUCGAUCAGACAGCUCAUUCUGGUAACUUACUGGCAUCGAGCCUGCAGACAGCUCCCAAAUGGGUUAAGAAGCUGUGAUGGGUUCCCUGAAGUUCAUUGGUGUCAGAUAAUAGGCUGCAUAUGUCCUUGAAUGGUCCAAUCCUCUAUAUCAGGCAGUGCUGAGUCGGGAAUACUGAUAGGCCUGAGCAUUUCUCAACAUAUCGUUGAGGCCUAAAUAUGCAGAGCGUGAACUUCAUUACUAGUCCACAAAUGUAACAACGUUUGCUCAUUUCCAAAUUCUCUGAAACUCAUUGCUAUCUCAAGAACAACCUGCACUGGUGCAUUCACAAAGCAACAAAGGGCAUUGGUACAACAAUGUAACAAUACCAUAGUGACAAAGCAUUUGCUUUCUGAAUGACUUGUAGGUUUCUGUCGUAUGCCUGUGAUUAAUGGCUGUGCAUAAACUUUCAAAUUGAGAGCAUUUGAUUCCUUAAUUAAAUACAUUUACCCUUCA